RNAcentral lists this long non-coding RNA (76 nucleotides) under Drosophila guanche. It matches the Rfam family "Yellow-achaete intergenic RNA conserved region 3". Lineage: Eukaryota; Metazoa; Arthropoda; Insecta; Diptera; Drosophilidae. The record is from RNAcentral.
GGCUCGGGCCACGACUCGUGUGUGUGCAAUAUCAAGUUUCCAUGUCAACUGGCCAUCGCUGUGCACAGUGGGCCGA